GAUGAACGCUGGCGGCGUGCCUAAUACAUGCAAGUCGAGCGAACAGACGAGGAGCUUGCUCCUCUGACGUUAGCGGCGGACGGGUGAGUAACACGUGGAUAACCUACCUAUAAGGCUGGGAUAACUUCGGGAAACCGGAGCUAAUACCGGAUAAUAUAUUGAACCGCAUGGUUCAAUAGUGAAAGACGGUUUUGCUGUCACUUAUAGAUGGAUCCGCGCCGCAUUAGCUAGUUGGUAAGGUAACGGCUUACCAAGGCAACGAUGCGUAGCCGACCUGAGAGGGUGAUCGGCCAAACUGGAACUGAGACACGGUCCAGACUCCUACGGGAGGCAGCAGUAGGGAAUCUUCCGCAAUGGGCGAAAGCUUGACGGAGCAACGCCGCGUGAGUGAUGAAGGUCUUCGGAUCGUAAAACUCUGUUAUUAGGGAAGAACAAAUGUGUAAGUAACUAUGCACGUCUUGACGGUACCUAAUCAGAAAGCCACGGCUAACUACGUG
RNAcentral lists this ribosomal RNA (497 nucleotides) under uncultured bacterium. RNAcentral's name for it is "partial 16S ribosomal RNA". It matches the Rfam family "Bacterial small subunit ribosomal RNA", at positions 28 to 507 of the family's 1533-position model. The record is from RNAcentral.